AAGAUACGACGCCACAAACGAGGUUGCUGAGCCAAUUUACCAAGAAGAAGAAGACUCCAACAAACCUUGUACUUUUGACCGGAGCAUUAUACUUUUGCACGUGGUACUAUAUUUUGGACUGAUCAGUCAGUCCACCUGUUUGCCAUUACUUGAGAGAUACCUCGUGGUAAAUAAUGCCUACAUAUGAUGAACUACAUAUAGUACAUAAGCUGAUACCCCUAGAGGAAAAUAAGCUCGGCUUGGUAGUAAUACCAUUGCAUGUCGGGCGUUAUGAAAAUGGUGACACCGCGAUAAAAGGUUUUUUCAGCAUCUCCCAUAAACGUAAAAUGCGCAUGGAGCGGCGAUUAUUUCGUAAGGAGCGCAUGGAUGUAUGGAAUGAAAAAGACCUUGGUCUGGCGCGGCUCUUAGACAUUCAGUCAUAUGAGCUGGAUCCUGAACCAGAAAAUUAGAAUUAAAGCUUGAUCACUCUCUGAGAGAAAAGUAUAAAAUAGAAUAGAACUUUAUUUCUUCAGUUUACAAUUGUCAAGAAUUAAGGAACUUGGUUUACACUAAAAUUCUUAACCACACUCAUCCUUCUAUACUGUGUAAAAAACCUAAGGGGCUCCGCACAAUAAAAGGAACAGGAACCAGAGAACAAAGAAUA
This is a long non-coding RNA of Trachymyrmex cornetzi, 643 nucleotides long. RefSeq lists it as uncharacterized. The transcript is spliced from 4 exons. NCBI's taxonomy places the organism in Eukaryota, Metazoa, Arthropoda, Insecta, Hymenoptera, Formicidae. The record is from RefSeq and is a predicted model, not a curated record.